AUAAUAAUUGUGCGUGGCUAAAAAGCAAAAUCAAUAACCACCAAAAAACGUUGCGUGUUUCUCCAAAAAAAUAUUAUUCAUGAUCGAAUAUCUGCGCUUGGGAGGAAGUGUUAACUGGCUGAUAAUUGAGUUGAAUAUUCGUGUUUAAUAUUUAUUAUAUUUGCUUAUUGAAUUUUCCACUUGACUCUGGCUCUGGCUCUCGAUACUUGGUUCUUGUUCUGUUUUUAACUCGCUCGACUCUCUCUCGCUCGGCUCGUCCCGUCUCUCUGUGUGUGUGGCCAAAAAGAAACCCGCGGAUACGGAUGCGAAUCCGAACUCUGUAAGGACCCUGCCACCAGCGCAACAGCAAGACAAUCUGAGAAUGUUGCCAUCAUCACCAGCAGCAUCGGCAACAG
Molecule: small RNA, 395 nt
Filed under: Drosophila ananassae
Lineage: Eukaryota; Metazoa; Arthropoda; Insecta; Diptera; Drosophilidae
Description: GF27659
Source: RNAcentral